Molecule: long non-coding RNA, 2361 nt
Organism: Peromyscus californicus insignis
Lineage: Eukaryota; Metazoa; Chordata; Mammalia; Rodentia; Cricetidae
Exons: 2
Source: RefSeq, a predicted model, not a curated record
CCAGGCACAGGUGGUAUGCUCUUUGCCUUACCCAACAGUUAUAACACUACAACCUGUCAUGAGCACCCAUGUGAUUUUACCCCAAAAGUGGGCACUGCAGUGGGGUUUGCUCUAACUGUACACUGUCCUCUGUUGUCACUGCAGGGCUGUUAGAGCUCAAGGACUGAGACCUCUCACAUAGAAUGAGGUGCUUUCUGAGACCCACCUAGCAAACCUUGCUGGGGUGUGUUCGUCAGUCCCACACAGCUGACUCCCAGCAUUCAGAAUGAGCGAAGACCCAAGAACCAUUUCUCUUUUGUUUUUCACGUACACACAUAAUUUCGUCAUUGCUGUUUUUUUUCCUAGCUCAAAAUAUUUCACACUUUUGUUAACAUGCUUCUUGGUAUCCUGGAGUUGCUGGUGCUAAUGGAGAAUUUUUUUUUUUUCUUUUUCACUACGCGCUAGUAAAUUCUGCCUUGUAGGAGGAAGUCAGCCUGCCCCAGUUAACACAGAGAAAGGUCCUCAGGCCCUGCUGAGAGUGGUCCCAGGAUGGUGGUCUGGUUGCUGGAUAGCUGCCUGCAAAACAUGCAUGCAUUCUCAAGCAGGAGUUCAUAGUCUGGGCUGCAGCGGGACAGGACAGUCACCUCCAUCCCCGUAAAUGGCCACUCCAGCAGGUCUAGUGUCUGGCCUAGCCUCUAGUCCAGCAAGAGUCUCUUAGAAAAGGCAGCCCUGGUUCAUUUCAUGGACCAUGCCUUCUGUCUUUCAAAGAUACCACGAGACCAUGCAGUAGCUCUCUGCACACAGCCCCUUCCUCCAAUGAGCUCCUCACCAAGAAAACAGAGCGAUCUUCAGACAAGCCAGGCCAGCCCCUCUCCUACCUCUCCUACGACCACAGAAGGUUCCGCUUCAAGUUAGCUUCGUCAGGACCUGCUUCUCCCACUUCCUCUCCACCCCACUCGUCCCUCACUCACCCUGCACUGACACACUGACUUCCUGGCUGACUGCCCCUUCCAGCUUACACGCCAUUCCUAAAGAUCUCAGAACUGAAGGCCUCUGAUCUCAGGAGGUCUCACCUAGAAGGUCACCUCCUCAGAGAAAACCUCCAGCCCUUUUCUUUCAUGUCACUUGGUCUCAUUUUUUUUUUUUUUUAUCAGAGCACCUAUGACUUCUCAGGAUCUUCCCAUCCACGAAUGUUCCUUCCCCAGUGGGAAGACUCAGGCCACGCAGGCCUCAUACACAUACGAUCCACCAAGCCUGGAUUCCUCUCCAGUGGCCCCCGAUCUGGAAUUACAGCCAGGGCACCAGCCUGCUUCUUGAACAAGUGUUGGCAUUUUGUUCCCAGCAGCUCCAGUAAUCAGAUGCUAGCCCCAGACCCCGUGAUUCAGUCAGCAGCCUGAGAAGGCUGGGUCAGGAACACAGGGACCUUCUUUCUUCUGAAAGAUAGCAGCGUUCCAAAGACUGGGGCCACAGAUGAGGGCUGAGCAGCAGGCCUGAGAACUGACCUGUGUGCUGGAAGCCGACCCUCCCCUGCACCAUGCCAACUGUGACAUUUCACAAACCAGGCAAUCGCCCAGCUUUACAAAGGAGGUGUUACUGAGCUCUGGGAUCGCCAUGUAACUAGUGCUGGGAUGAAAUUGGAUUUCCCUUUUCAGAACAAAGACAAACACACUCCUCUGGGAAGCCCAUCCUGGGAGAAGCUGCAUGUAUCAGAGGCCCCACUUCCGUGCCAAGCAUUCAAAGCCCAUUGCCCAGCCUGCUUGCUUCAGCCGUUCCUGGCAGAGUACACCGGAAUUCUCCAGCUUUGAAAUCUAAUUGCCUACCAUAGCCAUGAAACCCAUUUCCAAGGCAGAAAAAAGAAAAUUGAAAAGAGAGAAAAAAAGGAAAAUCAAAAGAAAGGCACAUGGUUUGUGGGAGCAGUUCUCACGGAAGCAGCUAAGAUGAGCCAGCUGAGCGUUUGACGCUCUGCCUUUGGGGGAGGCCAGUUUUAUAAAACAGCCGCAGAAAGCAGGCGUGCAGAAGAGGAAAAUCAAAAAAGACAGUUUCUGUCAGCAACAAGAAAAUGGAAGUCACAGGCAAAACCAGGAAACCCUCUCCCUGGAGUUACCGUGAUCUGCAGGAUAAUUGGGCCAAGCUCUCGCAUCCGGGAGUGGACACUGAUGGCCAUGUCAGGGCCUGCAGGAAUCGCUUAGCUCUCUAACAAUUUCAGGAGUCUGCCUGGCAAAAAGGACACUGUCUGCCAACAUCUCCAGUUCAAUGGUGACCAAUGAGUUAGGGGACUCUGCCACUACAGCAGAGUACAAAUCAUCAGGCUUUGUUUGGAGGCUUGAAAUGAAGAAUGAGAUCCUAAAAUCAUUUACAAUAAAAAUGAGCCCUGAGAUUUAA